This 482-nucleotide ribosomal RNA is filed under the name uncultured bacterium. Its description in RNAcentral is "partial 16S ribosomal RNA". It matches the Rfam family "Bacterial small subunit ribosomal RNA", at positions 30 to 507 of the family's 1533-position model. The record is from RNAcentral.
AUUGAACGCUGGCGGCAUGCUUUACACAUGCAAGUCGAACGGUAACAGGCCGCAAGGUGCUGACGAGUGGCGAACGGGUGAGUAAUGCAUCGGAACGUGCCCAGUCGUGGGGGAUAACUGCUCGAAAGAGUAGCUAAUACCGCAUACGAUCUAUGGAUGAAAGCGGGGGACCGUAAGGCCUCGCGCGAUUGGAGCGGCCGAUGUCAGAUUAGGUAGUUGGUGGGGUAAAGGCUCACCAAGCCAACGAUCUGUAGCUGGUCUGAGAGGACAACCAGCCACACUGGGACUGAGACACGGCCCAGACUCCUACGGGAGGCAGCAGUGGGGAAUUUUGGACAAUGGGCGCAAGCCUGAUCCAGCAAUGCCGCGUGCAGGAAGAAGGCCUUCGGGUUGUAAACUGCUUUUGUACGGAACGAAACGGCUCUGGUUAAUACCCGGGGCUAAUGACGGUACCGUAAGAAUAAGCACCGGCUAACUACGUG